UGACCUCGGAUCAGGUAGGAA
This 21-nucleotide ribosomal RNA is filed under the name Stachybotrys chlorohalonatus. RNAcentral describes it as "Stachybotrys chlorohalonata partial 28S ribosomal RNA". The record is from RNAcentral. Lineage: Eukaryota; Fungi; Ascomycota; Sordariomycetes; Hypocreales; Stachybotryaceae.